RNAcentral lists this ribosomal RNA (497 nucleotides) under uncultured bacterium. Its description in RNAcentral is "partial 16S ribosomal RNA". It matches the Rfam family "Bacterial small subunit ribosomal RNA", at positions 28 to 507 of the family's 1533-position model. The record is from RNAcentral.
GAUGAACGCUGGCGGCGUGCCUAAUACAUGCAAGUCGAGCGAACAGACGAGGAGCUUGCUCCUCUGACGUUAGCGGCGGACGGGUGAGUAACACGUGGAUGACCUACCUAUAAGACUGGGAUAACUUCGGGAAACCGGGGCUAAUACCGGAUAAUAUAUUGAACCGCAUGGUUCAAUAGUGAAAGACGGUUUUGCUGUCACUUAUAGAUGGAUCCGCGCCGCAUUAGCUAGUUGGUAAGGUAACGGCUUACCAAGGCAACGAUGCGUAGCCGACCUGAGAGGGUGAUCGGCCACACUGGAACUGAGACACGGUCCAGACUCCUACGGGAGGCAGCAGUAGGGAAUCUUCCGCAAUGGGCGAAAGCCUGACGGAGCAACGCCGCGUGAGUGAUGAAGGUCUUCGGAUCGUAAAACUCUGUUAUUAGGGAAGAACAAAUGUGUAAGUAACUAUGCACGUCUUGACGGUACCUAAUCAGAAAGCCACGGCUAACUACGUG